Molecule: long non-coding RNA, 1217 nt
Filed under: Marmota monax (woodchuck)
Lineage: Eukaryota; Metazoa; Chordata; Mammalia; Rodentia; Sciuridae
Source: RNAcentral
GAAGAAGAUUAUUUCAUGCAUUUAGAACAAUUUGGGCAGUUGUUCUGAGAUAUUAACAGUCAUGAGGUCUAGUCACAGCUGUCAUUUCCUAGCUAUGACCUGCAGAAGCUGAUGGUACCUUUCUCGGACUCAGCUGACUGAUCUAUAAAUGGAGAUUCAAUUUAAUUCAGGUCUAUAUAUGAAAGGGAGGGCAAGUCAUGCCCACAGAAGAGCCAGAACAAAAGCUCAAAAGUCUGAAGGCUUGCUGUGAGCUUGGGGAACUAUGCCCUGUUUCUCAUUGCUGAAGAAUUCGGGGUUGACAAGCCUGGAAGAACUGGAGUGGACAAUGUCUAGUGGCAAUCAUUCAGGUAGGUGCCUCACGGAAAUGUUGUGAGGAGACAGUAAAAUGAGGUAUGUGAAAGCAGACUGUAAACUGUAGAACAAACAAAUAUAACACAGUAUAUUUUUAUUAUGAAAACAGCAAAUGUUGGAGGGCAAAGUAAAGUGGGAAGAUAGCAACACGAGAAGGCAAGUUUUUUCUAAAUGAAGGAUGUGCUAGAAAGUAAUGAGAUCACACUUGCAAUGUAAGGCCACUCAACUGGAAAGCUUUGAAGGCAACAGACAUGUUUGACAUUUGAUCUGAAAAGUCAGUAGAUGCUUCUGGAGGUUGAGAUGAAUGGCAUGGGAUAAAUAAUGGGCAGUUCUGGACUUCUCGGUGUAGGGAAAGAGUUAGAAUCCAGCAAAGAGUUCUAGGAACCCAGAUAUGACUUGCUACAUUUCUCCCAGGAUGGGAAAUAUGAAUUUUUUAAAGUCCUGAAUUCCAAUAAUGGUGAGCCCUAUGACAAGAAGAAAAAGUGAGGACCUUGAAGAAAGAAUCUUGAAGUUGGAAGGGACUCUCCAGAGACAGCACAACACAGUGGAUAGAAGUACAAGAUAGGGAGCCCAGCUAUCCAGUACUAGACCUCUGCCCCAUCACUUUCAGCUGCAUGGGAGAGUUGUUUAACCUCUCUGUGCCUCAAAUCCUCAUCUAUAAAACAGGAAUAAUGCAAUCUACUUCUCAGAGUUGUUAUAAAGAUUAAAUAAAUAUAAAUUACAGUGCUCAAAGUGCUGUCUGUUGGGUAUUUAAUAAAUGUUAGAAUUUAUCAAUUCUACCUCCUACUUUAAAAAUGGGAACACUGAGGUCUGAAGAAAUUGAAUUGCCAACAGCUUAGUACUUUUUAGAUCUGCAUAUUAACAGC